RNAcentral lists this ribosomal RNA (254 nucleotides) under uncultured Lactobacillus sp. RNAcentral's name for it is "partial 16S ribosomal RNA". It matches the Rfam family "Bacterial small subunit ribosomal RNA", at positions 109 to 354 of the family's 1533-position model. The record is from RNAcentral. Lineage: Bacteria; Bacillati; Bacillota; Bacilli; Lactobacillales; Lactobacillaceae.
AGUAACACGUGGGGAACCUGCCCCAUAGUCUGGGAUACCACUUGGAAACAGGUGCUAAUACCGGAUAAGAAAGCGGAUCGCAUAAUCAGCUUUUAAAAGGCGGCGUAAGCUGUCGCUAUGGGAUGGCCCCGCGGUGCAUUAGCUAGUUGGUAAGGUAAAGGCUUACCAAGGCGAUGAUGCAUAGCCGAGUUGAGAGACUGAUCGGCCACAUUGGGACUGAGACACGGCCCAAACUCCUACGGGAGGCAGCAGGU